GUCAGAAACACAAACAUGUAUUCCUGACCCUAUAGGGUUACAACCACCAUCUAGCCACCCUGGUCCCCUCAUGCCUCCCUAAAUUAGUAAAAUCUUUCUUUUACUCAAGUCUGCAGCUGCAUAAUUUGUCACUGUUUCCUUGGACCCGCCCACUGCCUGCUGACAUCAGCAAAAGUGCUAGCCUAAUCCAAUCACAAUGCUUCCCCAUAGGAUUGGCUGAGACUAACAAGGAGGCAGAUCAGGGGCAGAACUAGCACAAUUCAAACACAGCCCUGGCCAAUCAGCAUCUCCUCAUAGAGUUGAAUUAAAUCAAGUUCAGUGUCUGCAUGCAGAGGGAGGAGAUACUGAAUGUCUGGAUGCAUUUUAGGCAGCUAUGACCCAGGAAGGAUCUCUAGCAGUUAUCCGAGGAGACAGUGUUUACAGCAAAAAGCCUGAAGGUGGUGAUUCUACUCACCAGAACAAAUUAAAUAAGCUGUAGUUGUUCUGGUGACUAUAGUGUCCCUUUAAAUUAUCUUUGAUGCAAAUAUACAUUUCUAAUGUUAAUUUGUUUAUGUUUAUUUCUAACUAGGUACGGAGCUCUGUUCUGACAUGUCACGUUUGUAUCAUAUGUUCCUCUUUCCAUUAAUGUUGAAAACCUCACCUUUGUCCUCAACGGAUUACAUUGUUGUAGAG
Pelobates cultripes (western spadefoot toad) is the source of this 672-nucleotide non-coding RNA. The record is from the annotation of a GenBank genome assembly. NCBI's taxonomy places the organism in Eukaryota, Metazoa, Chordata, Amphibia, Anura, Pelobatidae.